GUGAAAGGAGGAAGCUUUUUCCAAGGAAUAACAGAGGAUCCGAGAGUGAGAUUGUGUUUCCCGGGGCUAAAGUCAGUGGGAGCCCACGCUUGUUUGUGCAUUAAAAAUGCAUGCCUUUCAGGAAAAAGGAAGACAUAAUGGAGGGUGCCAUGAAAGAGAGAAGAGAAGCAGCAGAAAGAACAAAAGAGCCUCAGAGACAAGAGAGAUCAGUAGGAGUAGGGAAGAGAGAGUGUGUAAAACAAACACCUUGGUAAACUAACAAACUUGAUCUCAAACAGCAGAGAAGUGGGUCCGUGGGAGAGAUGUCACCACUAUGCAAAGCAAGCAGAUGCCUUCUGUGGGAAGAGGAAAAGUUAAAGAGAGUUUCAUGCCACGAUCAGUCUAUGAAAUUUCACUCGAUUGAACCAUCAUCAAGCAAGCCCUUGACCUGUUGAAGUGCUGCAUUGGAAGACGUGCAUUCCCGUGGGUCCCUAUAGAGAAACCCAGCUUUAAGAAUUCCACCAUUCAUGCAUUAUAAUAUGAUCAAGCCAAGAUUGGACUCUUCAUCAUGGACUGUUAUGUGAGAAGUUAAAAGAAAAGAAGUUGAAAGAAAAUGGUUCCCUUUGAAUUACAAGUCUCAAAAUAAGAAGCCAGGUUAUACAGUUUGACCUGUAGUUCUUCAUGGGAAAUGUAUGGCCCUACGUGAUCUAUAGGAUAUUCCUUCUGAACAGGGAACUAGGGUUGCUAAUCCUCCCGGCUUGGCUUGGAGUCCUCCAGAAUUGGCUUUAAAUGGGCAAUCUGCAGUUCAGACGACAACAAAACAGUCAACCUGCCACUGUUGUUUCAGGUUGGAUGUACCAAUAUUUUGAGUCACUAUUCACAUCAUAAACAAGUACAACGGUCACCGUGGGGGAAAACAACUGCCCAGUAAACAUAGCUUAGAUUUACAUAGGUAUUACUUCGAAACAGAAAACUAUUUAGGGGUUCUCAUAUGUUUACAAUGUUGUUUUGAUUAUUGCUUCAAAAGUCACUAAGCUUCUAUUUGGUUGUGAUUAGUUACAAAAUACCUAUUUUGGAUGCAGAAGUUGAUAGGUAGAACGCUAACCCUCAUUGACAUAGGCUCGAAGCAAAGCUAGCCAAAGAGCCAUGUUACUGGUUGAAAUGUAAGUGUUUUUUUUAAAAGUAUAAUGCAGUUGAUUUGCGACAGUGACACAAAACAUUAUAUUAAGCAAGACAUUCAUACAAGCAAGAACAUGUAAAUGAAUGGUUUUUUUAUUGGCGGUUUAUGAUAACUCUGUGUUUUCCCCCAUGUCGGGACAUGGUGAAUGACAUGCGGACCUUUGCAUAAUGUGUGAGACCCUAAAUGCAAUAAAAUGACGUGUUUGGUGACAAUUCA
Molecule: long non-coding RNA, 1375 nt
Organism: Oncorhynchus keta (chum salmon)
Lineage: Eukaryota; Metazoa; Chordata; Actinopteri; Salmoniformes; Salmonidae
Exons: 2
Source: RefSeq, a predicted model, not a curated record